Molecule: transfer RNA, 74 nt
Filed under: Ovis aries (sheep)
Lineage: Eukaryota; Metazoa; Chordata; Mammalia; Artiodactyla; Bovidae
Rfam family: tRNA
About the family: Transfer RNA (tRNA) molecules are approximately 80 nucleotides in length. Their secondary structure includes four short double-helical elements and three loops (D, anti-codon, and T loops).
Source: Rfam by way of RNAcentral
GCUGAAAUAGGUUAGUUGGGAGAACAUUAGACUGAAAAAUCUAAAGGUCCCUGGUUCAAUCCCAGGUUUCCCUU